GGUUCUUUUCAUCAGCCUGAACCCGAACCUGUCGUUAUGGAUAACUCAGGUUUUUGUCAUCAACUAUAUCAUCUUUUUUACUGUUUUGAAACUCUUAAGAUUAAACUUCAGUAAAGUUGUUUCAGUUAUCCAUGUAAUCAGGCCAAGGAUAUUUAGCAGCUUAUUUAGGCAACUGCCAGAAUUCAGUUUGUUUGCUCGAAACUUGUAUGGUGACAAGGAUACUGGCAAGGAUAGUGAGAUAGUUUUUUGUGUGAGUGAAAUUUGAAAGCUUGGGUGUUCUGGGAUUUGCAAUUGCAAUCAUCCUCUGAGUCAGGUGAUUUCUUCUCCUGCUCUGUCUUGAUUUUCUCUCUAAUUGAAAGCAUAAAGUAUUUCAAUCAAAUUCUGUACCAGGAGUACAUAAAAGUUACUAAUAUUUUAUUUCCAUCUGUUUGCAUUGAUAACUCGGCAUAUGUUCUAGUUAAAGAACAAACAGAAACAGAGUUCAGGAAAAAGUUUCUUCGGCCACCAUAUUUGAAAAUGAAACCAUUUCCAGGAAGCAGUUGGCAGCAAAUUCAUAUGGAGUGUAGACAAUGAUGAGCAAAAAGGUGAUUCGCAAUUUCUUUUUUUUUUAAGUGAAAUUAUUUGUUAGAUUGAAGCUGAUAUUGUAAGAAGGCCAUUGAGCUAACCUAUGUCGUCACUUGCCUAGAUUGCAGGGGGUCAAGACUCAAAAGAAGCACUGAAAUUUAAAAAGCAUGGAAUAGUUCUUUUGCCAUGUGUCAAUUAAUGCAAGUUUGAAUAAGUUUAUUGGCUGAACGAUGUUAGCUUCUUUUCCUUUCGUGCACUUUGGUAUGCUAUCAAGUGACAGCCGUAUGUAUGGCUUGCAUAUAGCUGCUGCUGGGAAAAUUGACGAUUUCAUGGCUGGCCGUGUUAUUGUCUUAAAUUAGUUGUGAUAAGCUGUUGCUUGGAGAUUCUGUUGCCAAGACUUUGCUCACAUCAGAAGCUGUGGAAUCUGAACCCUUCGUUAUGUAUCAUCUUUUUCAUUGUUUUAAAACUCUCAGGAUUAAACUUGAGCGAAUUUGUUCGGUUGUCUAUAUAAUCAUGUAUUGAGUAAACUCUCAGGAUACUGAGGGUGAGAGAAAUUAGAGGGUGUAUAGGGAUUUGGAUUUGUUAGGAAGUUAUCAUUUUUAUUUUUAUUUUUAUUUUUUUCCCAGAAAAUCUUCUGGUGGUGCUAUAUUUUCAAACGACAGUCCGAUUCAAAACUUGAUAUUCCAAUUAUAUUCAUAAGCUUCUACAGUUAUCUUCAAAAAGACAAAUGGAAGGCUUUGAACGGCUUGGGUCUGAGUAUUGUAGUUUGAUUUAUUUUGAUGAAAGUACCUUUUGACAUUGAGAUUCUUUCAUGAGUUAAACAUUCUUUUUAAAACCAACUUAUUAAAAAAAAAAAGUAACUAACAUAUAUUAUUUUGUUAGUGCUUUUUAAAUCAAAUAUAAAAAAGAGAACUGUAAUUCUUAGCAACCAAUUUUUCACUGAGUACACCUACAACAAACUAUUAAAAAAUAAAGUGAUAGAAAAUGCCUGAUUUUUCGUACUUUCUAAUUACUUUUGGUCCUAAAAUAUGGCAAUUUGUGUAAUAAUAAGCCCAUGUAUAUCUUUAUGCCAUUAGUUUGAUAAAUAGCUAUCAAGGAUAACUUAUUAAGCUAAAAAUAUUUGAAGGAUAAAUUGAUUUAUGCAUCCAAAGAUACAUUAUAUAUUUCUGUGUCUCUAUUUAUAGAUGACAUUUAAGCAUCCAUAAACCGUCAGACAGAGGAAGGGGGUUCAGUGCAAAGAUUCUGUUGACCUAGGGUUGACUGCAUAAUGUCACUUGUUCGCAAUCUAUUAUUUAUUUUAUAUUUUGAAGAAUUUAAUGGGUAAUCCUAAUUGUUUGUUUUGGCAGGUAUGUGUUGUUAUCUCCUUCUAUCUAACAGUCGUACCUAAAUAGCAUAGUUUCAUCUGUGUUACCAUGUGAUGUACAUAAUUUCACAUUUGCCUCAGAUUAAGCUUAAUUUCCCACAGAAUAGAGCUGUCGUGACUGGACUUAGGUUGAUGUCCAAAGAGGUAAAUUAUUGGCAUGCCUAGAUAAUUUGGCCAUUUCCUAAUUCAUAAGUCUACAUUAAUUUUGAUUUUGAGUUGACUGAUUUCUUUUCAAGGUCUGCUUCCUUAACGGAGUGACCAAUGUUUUUCAACUAAAUUUAUCAUAUGAUGCAGGAAGCAGGGCAGGAUAUGAAAUGAGAUCUCAUUGGUGGAAGUAUUGCCAGUAGCAGAACCCAAUGAAAAUGAAACUAUUUCAAGGCAGCAGUUGGCAGUUGCAAGUGAAUGGAGGCCCUUGACAAAAUUCUCAAGCGGUUGCAAUGAUGGUAAUUUCUUCUCCUGCUUUGUAUUUAUUUGUUAUCUAAUUAGGAAGCGUGAAGUAUCUUGAAUCAUUUUCUGUAUCUGGAAUAUAUGCAAGAGUUUCUAAAAUUUUGAUAUGAGUGUAAUGAUGGUAAUUUCUGUUUUCUGUCUGUCAUCAAAUGUUAGAAAACUUUCAUUGAGACCCUUGAACCGAGUCAUUUUUGACAAGUGAAGGACAAUUGCUGAAGAGUGGGAAUGGUGCUAGAUUGGGGAAUAAAGACAAAGGAGGUAAAUUAUUUGCAGUUUAUUCAGCAUUAUUUGCUUUGGACCACCGCCUGAUUCACAAGUCUCCAUAAUUUGGCUUUUGACCAGUUAAUAAAUUUUUAAUUCCAUUGGUGCUAAAUGUACACGUGAAGCAGGCAGAGCAGGACUGUGGAAAUGAGAAGGUUUUUAGUGAAAGCUUAAACUCAGGUAAUUCUAAAAAGUACAUGUUUUUGCUGAUUUAUCUAAAUCAGGAAAUUUUAUUUCCAUCUGUUACAAGAUAAAACAGAAACAGAACACAAAGAAAAAUAUUCUACUUCUUGUGGCAAUCUUGCCUUCAUUCAGACAAUGAAACCAUUUCCUUUCACCAAUUUCUUCCAAAAGUUUGAAUAAGUUUCAUGGUUGGACAUAGUUAGCUUCUUUUUCUUUUUGGUGCAUUUAGGUCCUAUCAAGUGACAGCCAUAAGUAUGAUUGCAUUAUUGGGAAAUUUUAGGUUUGGAUGGCUCCCCAUGUUAUUGCCAAGAAAGUCCUCAUGUCAGAAGCUGCGGUUCUUUUCAUCAGCCUGAACCCGAACCUGUCGUUAUGGAUAACUCAGGUUUUUGUCAUCAACUAUAUCAUCUUUUUUACUGUUUUGAAACUCUUAAGAUUAAACUUCAGUAAAGUUGUUUCAGUUAUCCAUGUAAUCAGGCUAAGGAUAUUUAGCAGCUUAUUUAGGCAACUGCCAGAAUUCAGUUUGUUUGCUCGAAACUUGUAUGGUGACAAGGAUACUGGCAAGGAUAGUGAGAUAGUUUUUUGUGUGAGUGAAAUUUGAAAGCUUGGGUGUUCUGGGAUUUGCAAUUGCAAUCAUCCUCUGAGUCAGGUGAUUUCUUCUCCUGCUCUGUCUUGAUUUUCUCUCUAAUUGAAAGCAUAAAGUAUUUCAAUCAAAUUCUGUACCAGGAAUACGUAAAAGUUACUAAUAUUUUAUUUCCAUCUGUUUGCAUUGAUAACUCGGCGGCAUAUGUUCUAGUUAAAGAACAAACAGAAACAGAGUUCAGGAAAAAGUUUCUUCGGCCACCAUAUUUGAAAAUGAAACCAUUUCCAGGAAGCAGUUGGCAGCAAAUUCAUAUGGAGUGUAGACAAUGAUGAGCGAAAAG
This 3738-nucleotide long non-coding RNA is filed under the name Citrus maxima (pomelo). Its description in RNAcentral is "long non-coding RNA (CMAX_LNC001172)". Lineage: Eukaryota; Viridiplantae; Streptophyta; Magnoliopsida; Sapindales; Rutaceae. The record is from RNAcentral.